RNAcentral lists this ribosomal RNA (513 nucleotides) under uncultured bacterium. RNAcentral's name for it is "partial 16S ribosomal RNA". It matches the Rfam family "Bacterial small subunit ribosomal RNA", at positions 28 to 523 of the family's 1533-position model. The record is from RNAcentral.
GACGAACGCUGGCGGCAUGCCUAAUACAUGCAAGUCGAGCGAACGGAUGAAGUGCUUGCACUUCUGACGUUAGCGGCGAACGGGUGAGUAACACGUAAGGAAUCUACCUAUAAGCGGGGGAUAACAUUCGGAAACGGGUGCUAAUACCGCACAAUAUCUUCUUCCGCAUGGAAGAAGAUUGAAAGACGGCUCUGCUGUCACUUAUAGAUGACCUUGCGGUGCAUUAGUUAGUUGGUGGGGUAACGGCCUACCAAGACGAUGAUGCAUAGCCGACCUGAGAGGGUGGUCGGCCACAUUGGGACUGAGACACGGCCCAAACUCCUACGGGAGGCAGCAGUAGGGAAUCUUCCGCAAUGGGCGAAAGCCUGACGGAGCAAUGCCGCGUGAGUGAAGAAGGCCUUCGGGUCGUAAAACUCUGUUAUAAGAGAAGAACAAAUUGUAGAGUAACUGCUACAGUCUUGACGGUAUCUUAUCAGAAAGCCACGGCUAACUACGUGCCAGCCGCCGCAGUAA